UUUAGAAUGAGGAGCCCCAGACUUUGGAUAAGAACAAGAAAAUCUGUCUUCUAAAGAGAAAGGUGUUAAGCCACAGCUGAGGAUGACAGACUUUUCCCAUGAAAUCACUGCAUUGCACUAUGCAUUAAGCGCUGUACCUCUACCCCAGUGCCUGGUACAAUUUAUGCUGCAUUUAAUCAGCGGUGCCUGCGAGAUCGUCUUUGUUCCUUUACAAUACUGGCAAGAAAAUAUUUCAGAACUACAAUAGCCUACCAGUGAUAUUGACUUUGAAUUGAGUCUAGUUUCUCUGUGCAUUUGAAAUAACAAUGAGGUCAUUAACUGUGAGGUUGGUAUUGGGCUAAGCAAACUGACUAAGAAGUGGUUACAGAGAAUACAAAAACCGUCUCCUAAGCAAGAGAAUACUUCAGAUGUGUGAGGAAAAGAGUUUUGGCUUUCAAAGUGGCUGUAUAGACAAUCAUUCUUUUAAGACACUUGACUGAAAAGUUGUUUAUUUGAUCUCACAUGAAGAUGGAAAAUCUCUCAGCACAGAAUCCUGAGCCAUUAGGAGAUUUGGAUUAGGAAGGAAUCAUUUCUGUUCUGAGAGUAAGGGAAUACUGCAGCUGAGAUUUUUAUUCUACAAAGAUAUAUAAAGGGCUAGCAGCAGAACAUUGUGCUGCUGCAUUGGCAAGAUGACAAGAUUUGAAAGUGGCAGAUUUUAAAUAAAUAGGUGGAAACACAAUUACUCA
Molecule: long non-coding RNA, 725 nt
Filed under: Junco hyemalis (dark-eyed junco)
Lineage: Eukaryota; Metazoa; Chordata; Aves; Passeriformes; Passerellidae
Description: lncRNA (ENSJHYG00000004721.1)
Source: RNAcentral